RNAcentral lists this ribosomal RNA (450 nucleotides) under uncultured bacterium. RNAcentral describes it as "partial 16S ribosomal RNA". It matches the Rfam family "Bacterial small subunit ribosomal RNA", at positions 354 to 796 of the family's 1533-position model. The record is from RNAcentral.
GCUAAGAAUAUUCCGCAAUGGACGAAAGUCUGACGGAGCGACGCCGCGUGGAUGAGGAAGGCCGAAAGGUUGUAAAGUCCUUUUGUCGAUGAAGAAUAAGUGGUGGAGGGAAUGCCAUCAUGAUGACGUUAGUCGGCGAAUAAGCCCCGGCUAAUUACGUGCCAGCAGCCGCGGUAACACGUAAGGGGCAAGCGUUGUUCGGAAUUAUUGGGCGUAAAGGGUACGUAGGCGGUUAUGUAAGCCCGGCGUGAAAUCCUGCAGCUUAACUGUAGAGCUGCGCUGGGAACUGCGUAACUUGAGUCAUGGAAGGGAAGUUAGAAUUCCAGGUGUAGGGGUGAAAUCUGUAGAUAUCUGGAAGAAUACCGGUGGCGAAGGCGAACUUCUGGCCAAUGACUGACGCUGAGGUACGAAAGUGCGGGGAGCAAACAGGAUUAGAUACCCUGGUAGUCC